UACCAUGGUUUAACGGGUAACGGGGAAUUAGGGUUCGAUUCCGGAGAGGGAGCCUGAGAAACGGCUACCACAUCCAAGGAAGGCAGCAGGCGCGCAAAUUACCCAAUCCCGACACGGGGAGGUAGUGACAAUAAAUAACAAUAUGGGGCUCUUACGAGUCUUGUAAUUGGAAUGAGUACAAUUUAAAUCUCUUAACGAGGAACAAUUGGAGGGCAAGUCUGGUGCCAGCAGCCGCGGUAAUUCCAGCUCCAAUAGCGUAUAUUAAAGUUGUUGCAGUUAAAAAGCUCGUAGUUGAAUUUCGGGGUUUAUCCGUCGGUCGGGCUUUUGGGUCUGUACUGGCGUGAUGGAUUCCUACCUUCUGAAUAACCGGCAUGUCAUUAAUUUGGUGCGCCGGGGAAGCAGGACUGUUACCUUGAAAAAAUUAGAGUGCUUAAAGCAGGCUUAUGCCUGAAUACAUUAGCAUGGAAUAAUGAAAUAGGACGGCAUGGUUCUAUUUUGUUGGUUUCUAGGAUCACCGUAAUGAUUAAUAGGGAUAGUUGGGGGCAUUAGUAUUCAAUUGUCAGAGGUGAAAUCCUUGGAUUUAUUGAAGACUAACUUCUGCGAAAGCAUUUGCCAGGGAUGUUUUCAUUAAUCAAGAACGAGAGUUAGGGGAUCGAAGACGAUCAGAUACCGUCGUAGUCUUAACCAUAAACUAUGCCGACUAGGGAUCGGACGAUGUUAAUUUUUUAAUGACUCGUUCGGCGCCUUACGGGAAACCAAAGUGUUU
This 766-nucleotide ribosomal RNA is filed under the name uncultured Acaulospora. RNAcentral describes it as "SSU rRNA". It matches the Rfam family "Eukaryotic small subunit ribosomal RNA", at positions 342 to 1108 of the family's 1831-position model. Lineage: Eukaryota; Fungi; Glomeromycota; Glomeromycetes; Diversisporales; Acaulosporaceae. The record is from RNAcentral.